RNAcentral lists this ribosomal RNA (605 nucleotides) under uncultured Bacteroidota bacterium. RNAcentral's name for it is "bacterial SSU rRNA". It matches the Rfam family "Bacterial small subunit ribosomal RNA", at positions 315 to 916 of the family's 1533-position model. The record is from RNAcentral. Lineage: Bacteria; Pseudomonadati; Bacteroidota.
CGUACUGAGACACGGACCAGACUCCUACGGGAGGCAGCAGUGAGGAAUAUUGGACAAUGGGAGCAAUCCUGAUCCAGCCAUGCCGCGUGCAGGAAGACUGCCCUAUGGGUUGUAAACUGCUUUUAUACAGGAAGAAAAAGCCCGACGUGUCGGGUGUUGACGGUACUGUAAAAAUAAGGAUCGGCUAACUCCGUGCCAGCAGCCGCGGUAAUACGGAGGAUCCAAGCGUUAUCCGGAAUCAUUGGGUUUAAAGGGUCCGUAGGCGGGACAAUAAGUCAGUGGUGAAAGUCUGCAGCUCAACUGUAGAAUUGCCAUUGAUACUGUUGUUCUUGAGUGCUUGUGAAGUGGUUAGAAUGAGUAGUGUAGCGGUGAAAUGCAUAGAUAUUACUCAGAAUACCGAUUGCGAAGGCAGAUCACUAACAAUUCACUGACGCUGAUGGACGAAAGCGUAGGUAGCGAACAGGAUUAGAUACCCUGGUAGUCUACGCCGUAAACGAUGGUUACUAGCUGUUCGGACCAAUUGAGGUCUGAGUGGCUAAGCGAAAGUGAUAAGUAACCCACCUGGGGAGUACGUUCGCAAGAAUGAAACUCAAAGGAAUUGACGG